GCUUGCACCCCGCUGACGAGCGGCGGACGGGUGAGUAAUGCAUAGGAAACUGCCCAGUAGUGGGGGAUAGCCCGGGGAAACCCGGAUUAAUACCGCGUACGCCCUUCGGGGGAAAGCAGGGGAUCUUCGGACCUUGCGCUAUUGGAUGUGCCUAUGUCGGAUUAGCUAGUUGGUGGGGUAAAGGCCUACCAAGGCGACGAUCCGUAGCUGGUCUGAGAGGAUGAUCAGCCACAUCGGGACUGAGACACGGCCCGAACUCCUACGGGAGGCAGCAGUGGGGAAUAUUGGACAAUGGGGGCAACCCUGAUCCAGCCAUGCCGCGUGUGUGAAGAAGGCUUUCGGGUUGUAAAGCACUUUCAGUGAGGAGGAAAACUCUGCGACUAAUACUCGUAGGGCUUGACGUUACUCACAGAAGAAGCACCGGCUAACUCCGUGCCAGCAGCCGCGGUAAUACGGAGGGUGCAAGCGUUAAUCGGAAUUACUGGGCGUAAAGCG
This 495-nucleotide ribosomal RNA is filed under the name Marinobacter sp. Ar-3. RNAcentral describes it as "bacterial SSU rRNA". It matches the Rfam family "Bacterial small subunit ribosomal RNA", at positions 78 to 567 of the family's 1533-position model. The record is from RNAcentral. Lineage: Bacteria; Pseudomonadati; Pseudomonadota; Gammaproteobacteria; Pseudomonadales; Marinobacteraceae.